RNAcentral lists this non-coding RNA (23 nucleotides) under Ophiophagus hannah (king cobra). Its record names the gene oha-miR-429-3p. The record is from miRBase by way of RNAcentral. RNAcentral also lists the same sequence under 1 other name. Lineage: Eukaryota; Metazoa; Chordata; Lepidosauria; Squamata; Elapidae.
UAAUACUGUCUGGUAAUGCCGUC